GGAAUUCAUCGGCCCAUAUGGCUAGGACCUCGGGAACAAGGAUGGUGUAACCUGUUUCAGGAAUGGCUGGAUCUAGGGGCUCAAACGAUGCUCUCUGAACAUUGUCUUGCUCUGUCUCUGAGCUAUGAUUUCUCCAGGUCCUGGACAAGAUGUAAGCUUCAGCCAAAAUCCACCACCUUAGCAGUCACAGUGGAAAGGGAACUUUCUUUUCUAAUGGUUAAAGCAAAAGUUCUGUCCUUAUCCAGGCCUGGGUCUUUUGCCUCUCCCUGGGGUGGAGGUAGGGGGAACAAGAGCAGUCCCAUCUGACACACACGGACUGUAGCAGAAGGAGCGGUGGUUGGUGAUAGAGAAAUCAAAGCGCCAAGACCAAAAGAAGAGGACAAGGAUGCCCGGCAAGAAUCUUUACUCCCACCAGCAGUGUCUGAGAGGACGCCUCCCCGCAAACCCUCACCAACGAUCUUUCCUGUUUCCCAGUUACAGAGCACAAGGGAUAGACACACGUCAGAGACCUUAUCCACCUCGUUCGCUGUUGUGUUGCCAGCACCUAGAACGGUUUCGAGGAUGCAGUAGGUGCUGGAUAAGUAUGCACUGAAAGCACGAAGAAGAGAACUGCCUCCUAUGUCUGAUCUCCCACUGGCUGCUUAGAUCGCAUGUCUGCAUCUGCUCCCCUGCCUGAGAAGACGCCCCUCUCCACACACGCCUGCUUCUGGAAACUCUGCUAAACUACCCAGAUGAAGCCCCAUCCCUGGAAUUUUCUCCAGCCCCAGAAGAGGAAAGCUAGUAGCAGGUUGACUUGGCACGUUUAGACUUUUGGUGAUUGAAAUGAUUACUUCCUAUUCCACACCCGCUCAACUCUGCAGAGAAACCUUUUCUACCAGCACUUGCUCUGUCUUGCUCCUCUCUGCAUGUUAACUUUAUUCCCCAAGAUAGCAGACCUGCUGACUGGCAGCACCUGGGGAGUUCAGGAGCACCUGUAAACUCCUGGGGAGGAUGAGCCUGGCUUGUGUCACGUGUCCACCUUGCACAAGCCAGCUGUGGCGGGUGGACUGAAUCCCACAGCACAGGUGUGACCACUGGGGUCCCCUCCUGGGUCUCAGUGCUGUUUCUGGAGAGGGGCGUCUCGUGUGCCAGGAAUCAACCCCAGUCUGUGUCUUUUUACAGGGGCCCUCCAGCCUUGGCUGAUGGGACUCAGAGUGGAUAUCAGUCUCAAACUGAGCCAGUAAGAAUCCCGCUCUCAAAAUUUUGGACAGUAAAUUAGCGUAAGGCAAAUCAACUUUGUUGAGACAUAAUUUACAUAUAAUAAAACGCACCCAGCUUAAGUUCAAUGAGUUUUGACAAAUGUAGACACCCAUGAAAUUUACCACUGUAAUUAAGAGAUAGAAUAUUUUAAUUGCCCCCAAAAGUUCCUGCAUGUCCCUUUGCAGUCAACUCCUUCACCCCAUACCCAGGCAACCACAACCACUCACCUAUGUCCUGCCACUGUAGAUGAGUUAGGCUUUUUCUAAAAUUUUGUAUAAAUGGAAUCAUAUAGCAUGCAUUCCUCUGUGUCUGGCUUCUAUCACUUGGCACAAUGCCUGUGAGAUUUAUGCAUGUUGUUGCAUUUAUCAGUAACUUAUAGAACACCCGGUUUUGGUCACAAAGUAACAGCCAAUUAAUAGAGAAAAAAGAAGCCAAGAUGUUGAGGGAAGAAGAGAUGGAAGACCACAGGGCCUAGGAGCGGUAGAGAGUGACCUCAGAGCCUGUUCUGAAACAAAAGCUUUAAAAAUAACCACCACUACCCAGGCAUGUACGGUACCAUCCCAUUUAUCAAAACAAAGAGGAGAAAAACAAGCCCAUAUAUGAGUAUAUUUGUCUAGGGAAAGGCUGGAAAGAUACACACCAAGGGGUUAAUUGUGGUUAUCUCUGGGUAAUAGGACCAUGGAUGUUUAAAAAUAUUAUCUUUCCUUAUCUAAAUUUUUAAUUUUCUACCAUCAACAAAGGUUAUUUUUACUUUAAGAAAAAAAAGUAUUUUUAUUUUCACAUGUGUGUGCAGCUUUUAAAAUCAGGCUGGGAAACUUCUCAAAUGCUUAACAUUUUUCAACGAUGUGAAAUGUUUCUAGUUACAUUUCAAACCUCUGAUGUGACGGUUCUGCCGCAGAUGUUUAAAAGCAAAACUUGUGAAAUAGGAUCAUUUGUGAGUAAUUAUUCCCUCAGCCCAGUUAUGCUGAAGGCCCUCUUAAGGCCUCUCAAAUUGUAACCGAGCUAUUUGUGGGCUAAAACCUUAACCCAGUUGUCGUCCUCAUCCUUGAGCCUGCAAUCAAAUGGAAAGGGUUGUGCUUCCCGUCGUUUUCAAAAUGUGGGCCAGCGGAAUCCCUUGGUGUGGUUGUAAAAACGCAGAUUCGUGAGCUGGACCACAGAUAUACUGACCCAUGAGAGUCUCUGGGGGUAGAGUUUAGAAUACGACAUUUAAAACAACCCAGUUAGGCAAUUCCGGGACACAGUAAUCUUUGAGAGUCAGUGGGCUCGUUUCUGGCCAGAUAAGCUUAGUUCCUGCCCUGAACAGGCCUCCCAGGACCCCCACAUCUAAUCAGCUGCUCUCCACCUCAGAGGCACCUCUGCUCCCAGGAUCAGUCACAACCUUAGGCAGGAGCCAAUAUAACUGGUAUUAAUCCUGUUUUGUUUCAAACAACUGUGUGUCCUUUGCUUUUGCACGUUUAGCCUCUCUUGGGAAUCUGAGCACCGCCCCUGAAUCUUGGGCCUUCAAGGUAUCCUUGCUGUCUGGGGACUCCUCAAGGUCUAUCCUGUAAUGUCCCACCCAGGGGGCCGAUUGUUUUGCAUUGCCUCUCUCCUGGGAGACUCUGCCAACUGGAGACUGCCCUCCAGGCUGAAGCUUCUCUAUCUGUGCUUAUAUCUGGAUCUGCUCGCUCCUCCCCACCCACCCAGCC
Equus caballus (horse) is the source of this 2924-nucleotide long non-coding RNA. The record is from Ensembl. Lineage: Eukaryota; Metazoa; Chordata; Mammalia; Perissodactyla; Equidae.